UUGACCGCUGGCGGCAGGCCUAACACAUGCAAGUCGAGCGGAUGAAGGGAGCUUGCUCCUGGAUUUAGCGGCGGACGGGUGAGUAAAGCCUAGGAAUCUGCCUGGUAGUGGGGGACAACGACUCGAAAGGGUCGCUAAUACCGCAUACGUCCUACGGGAGAAAGUGGGGGAUCUUCGGACCUCACGCUAUCAGAUGAGCCUAGGUCGGAUUAGCUAGUAGGUGAGGUAAUGGCUCACCUAGGCGACGAUCCGUAACUGGUCUGAGAGGAUGAUCAGUCACACUGGAACUGAGACACGGUCCAGACUCCUACGGGAGGCAGCAGUGGGGAAUAUUGGACAAUGGGCGAAAGCCUGAUCCAGCCAUGCCGCGUGUGUGAAGAAGGUCUUCGGAUUGUAAAGCACUUUAAGUUGGGAGGAAGGGUUGUAGUUUAAUACGCUGCAACUUUGACGUUACCAACAGAAUAAGCACCGGCUAACUCUGUGCCAGCAGCCGCGGUAAUACAGAGGGUGCAAGCGUUAAUCGGAAUUACUGGGCGUAAAGCGCGCGUAGGCGGCUUGAUAAGAUGGGUGUGAAAUCCCCGGGCUUAACCUGGGAACUGCAUCCAUAACUGUCUGGCUAGAGUACAGUAGAGGGUGGUGGAAUUUCCUGUGUAGCGGUGAAAUGCGUAGAUAUAGGAAGGAACACCAGUGGCGAAGGCGACCACCUGGACUGAUACUGACCCUGAGGUGCGAAAGCGUGGGGAGCAAACAGGAUUAGAUACCCU
This 764-nucleotide ribosomal RNA is filed under the name Pseudomonas sp. M7-3. Its description in RNAcentral is "bacterial SSU rRNA". It matches the Rfam family "Bacterial small subunit ribosomal RNA", at positions 29 to 788 of the family's 1533-position model. The record is from RNAcentral. Lineage: Bacteria; Pseudomonadati; Pseudomonadota; Gammaproteobacteria; Pseudomonadales; Pseudomonadaceae.